UACAGAGGUCUCAAGCGUUGUUCGGAUUCAUUGGGCGUAAAGGGUGCGUAGGCGGCGCGGUAAGUCGGGUGUGAAAUCUCCCGGCUUAACCGGGAGGGUGCGGCGGAAACUGGAGUGCUUGAGGGUGGGAGAGGUAAGCGGAAUUCCUGGUGUAGCGGUGAAAUGCGUAGAUAUCAGGAGGAACACCUGUGGUGUAGACAGCUUACUGGACCACUUCUGACGCUGAGACACGAAAGCGUGGGUAGCAAACAGG
RNAcentral lists this ribosomal RNA (253 nucleotides) under uncultured bacterium. Its description in RNAcentral is "partial 16S ribosomal RNA". It matches the Rfam family "Bacterial small subunit ribosomal RNA", at positions 524 to 776 of the family's 1533-position model. The record is from RNAcentral.